GCACCACCCGUGAAGCAUAAGUCCAAAAUUUUCGUUAGGUCUCCGCGUGGCCCCAAUCCCCCAUCUCAUCUCUCUCACACACACCGCAUAUCCCCCAGCGAAACCUAAGCCACAUGCCGCCCCUGCCGCCGACCUUGCUGGUCGAUUUGCUUGCGCCGCCGUAUGCUCCUUCCUCGACUUGCCUGGCGCCGCCGCCGUCCCGACUCUGACCAGCCUCGCGCCGCCACGGCGUCCGGAUCUGACCAGCCUCGCGCCACCACCUCUCCAGACUACGACCAGUCUCGCGCCACCACGGCCUUCGGCCCAGAUCUACCUCCCGUCGCCAAGGCCUCCGAGGGGAGGUACUCUACAGUCUGAGGGGCCGCCCCGUAACCUGCAGACCGAGGAGGCGACCUACCAUACUCUGCCAAGGAGACGCCCCACUGCCCCUCUUCCAACACCGGCGACGCCUCCCCUACCUCAUCUGUCCUACCCCGUUUCCAAAUCUGGCUACUGUAGGUAAGCUUCAUCGUUGAUUCUUUUAAUUUUCUUCCGUCCAAAACUAUGAUUGCCCAUUAGAUCUAUCUAGUUUGAACAAGUUUAUGUCGGCUUAUUUGAGUUUGGGUAAUUUUAGGCUGGUUUAGGAACGGCUUAGGCUGACUGGAAGGGAGCGCAUGUACUACUGUAGGUGGGAGCAUGCGGCCUGGUUCAUGGCGGAGGUGGCCUAGUUCGUGAGUGGACAAAGCAACGACCUGGACCAGAUGUCUAACCGACAGUUUCACAUGUGAAUUUUGAUUCAUAUAAAUUUUGUGAUUUAUCUCUGCUAUUAUCUGUAAAAUCAUGUUCUAAUAUGUGCCAUUUGCAGGGCAAAAGCUGGCGGAAACAGGAGAAGAAAGUGAGGUCCUUGUGUAUGAUGAUGGCUUGCCAAUGUUGCAGAAAACAAGGUCUCAGGUGAGAGCUCUUAUUGGAACCAAAAAAGAAUAUAGGAAUAGGAGGAAAUAUAAGGGCCACUGGGGAAGUACGAGGGUCAUCACGGCCACCCAAGAAAAAGAAAACGAUUGUGUACUUGCAGUUGUUUACAUUCAACACUUCCUCGUUAUAUAUACCAUCUGUUUCACACAUAUUUAUGUUUUUUUCUAGUCAAAGAACGGCAUCAGUGAAGCUAUAAAUGAAGGACGUAACUCAAUAGGAAUUUUGCUCGUGUCAGUAAUUGAAUGGUAAACUUAUACUCUGUUCCUGCAGUGCAGCAGUGUCACUCUAAACGAUGGUACAUGCAUCCUAGAAAAUGACUGUCUUCUUAGUCUUGAAAAUAUUGUUAUACUUACAAUACCAAUGCUGACAUCUAAAUUUAGUUGGCGAUGUGGAAAUGUGUUACAUAAUUUAUUGUCAGGUUUGCUUUUCAGUCCUUGCAUUUUAUAUGUGUAUAGCCGCACCCCCAUUAUCAUGCAAAAUAGUAUCAAGUUCAGAGACUUGAUCAUGGAAGCUAGCUGAAAUGUAUGAUUUAGUACGCAAGAAAAUUCCUUUCAGAAAUUUCUCCAAAGAGAAUGCUAGCUUCUAGCAUAUAUCUAUUUGAUCGCUAACUGAACAAUCUCAAUUGCAUAUCUCUAAAAAUUAAGUAAGCACCUUUCCUGACACUUAGAACUUGUGUGGGACAAAUGACCAUAAGUGCGCUGUUCCUAGUAGCUAUAAACUGAAUCUUGCUAUCUUUUAAAGGUCAGCCACAAAAUAAAAACUUGACCAUUAUUUUUCUGAGAAGCAUAUUUAGUUCAGUACCACAAAUCAGGAUUACACCUAGCUCUAUUUUUAGAGAAACAUAGAUGUUGCAGCCUGUUGCAGCAUAUGUUGAGUGUCAGGAUUUUAACCAUAGUAGAAUACAACAUAUGCAAAUCUCUACCGUAUACCAAGUCUAACUGCACUUCCUGCUACUACAUAGAUGGAUUUGUUCAGUUUCAGUUUCUAGAUGCCUAACUAGAGUGCAUCUGUUAUAUAUCAAGGAAAACGAGAUGCAUGUGGAAGUGCACUUCCUGCUGCUACAUAUAUGACUUCUAUCACAUUUAUAUUUACAAGGGCAUAUCUGAUUAUUCGCUAGUUGAGGAACUUCAAAAUGGAAAUAUCUAAAACUACAAUCAGAACAUUAUUCCUGAUGUCUUAGAACAGAUCUGAUUGCUUUAUCAAUGAGUGCAUAAAUUCUCAUUUUUAAGAUUGCUCAAACAUAUGAGUUCUUUUGUAGGGACAAAUGGAGGAAAGUAGCAAGUCGACAAGUUCAUCUAAGAUGUUCCGGUCACCGCUUUUGUUCAUAACACGGUUGACACAUUUUGUUCAUAUGGAAAUUGAUCUUAGCUUGGGGAUCGAAGAUUGGUCUCUUCCAUAAUUAUUUGUGGUAGUGAUCGAACAUUUAGUCUCUUAGGAACUUGGCCAUCGUAUUUUGUAAGACGCCAUGACUUGAAUGUUGACUUAUGUAUUUCCUUUAUGGUUGUAGCUAACUUCAGUGAAGAAAACUAAGAAAUUUUCUAUAUAUGUUGAAUGAAUGCAUUGAUCAAUGGUAUCUUGUGAUGAAUACAAGAGUGCAAAUGUUUGUAUUUGUAUUGGGUACUGAACAUGAAAUGGUUAUUAUGAAUUGAUUUCAUGUUAAUAUAUGGUACAUUUG
Molecule: long non-coding RNA, 2626 nt
Filed under: Triticum aestivum (bread wheat)
Lineage: Eukaryota; Viridiplantae; Streptophyta; Magnoliopsida; Poales; Poaceae
Description: long non-coding RNA (TAES_LNC012693)
Source: RNAcentral